Oncorhynchus keta (chum salmon) is the source of this 1810-nucleotide long non-coding RNA. RefSeq lists it as uncharacterized. The transcript has 3 exons. The record is from RefSeq and is a predicted model, not a curated record. NCBI's taxonomy places the organism in Eukaryota, Metazoa, Chordata, Actinopteri, Salmoniformes, Salmonidae.
ACAGAGAGGAGAGACACAGAGAGAGAGAGAGGAGAGACAGACAGAGAGAGAGGAGAGACACAGACAGAGAGAGAGGAGAGACACAGACGCAGACAGAGAGAGAGGAGAGACAGACACAGAGAGAGAGAGGAGAGACACAGAGAGAGGAGAGACACAGACAGAGAGAGGAGAGACACAGAGAGAGGAGAGACACAGACACAGACAGAGAGAGAUAGACACAGACAGAGAGAGAGACAGACAGCGCUUGGAAUGAGAUGAUGGAUGAGCAGGUGUCCACAUUCUGCAUAACAGGUCGGGUCCCCUAACUAACAGGUUCUCUAGCAGGUCCCCUAACUAACAGGUUCUCUAGCGGGUCCCCUAACUAACAGGUUCUCUUGCAGGUCCCCUAACUAACAGGUUCUCUAGCGGGUCCCCUAACUAACAGGUUCUCUAGCAGGUCCCCUAACUAACAGGUUCUCUAGCGGGUCCCCUAACUAACAGGUUCUCUAGCAGGUCCCCUAACUAACAGGUUCUCUAGCAGGUCCCCUAACUAACAGGUUCUCUAGCGGGUCCCCUAACUAACAGGUUCUCUAGCAGGUCCCCUAACUAACAGGUUCUCUAGCAGGUCCCCUAACUAACAGGUUCUCUAGCGGGUCCCCUAACUAACAGGUUCUCUUGCAGGUCCCCUAACUAACAGGUUCUCUAGCGGGUCCCCUAACUAACAGGUUCUCUAGCAGGUCCCCUAACUAACAGGUUCUCUAGCGGGUCCCCUAACUAACAGGUUCUCUAGCAGGUCCCCUAACUAACAGGUUCUCUAGCAGGUCCCCUAACUAACAGGUUCUCUAGCAGGUCCCCUAACUAACAGGUUCUCUAGCAGGUCCCCUAACUAACAGGUUCUCUAGCAGGUCCCCUAACUAACAGGUUCUCUAGCAGGUCCCCUAACUAACAGGUUCUCUAGCAGGUCCCCUAACUAACAGGUUCUCUAGCAGGUCCCCUAACUAACAGGUUCUCUAGCGGGUCCCCUAACUAACAGGUUCUCUAGCAGGUCCCCUAACUAACAGGUUCUCUAGCAGGUCCCCUAACUAACAGGUUCUCUAGCAGGUCCCCUAACUAACAGGUUCUCUAGCAGGUCCCCUAACUAACAGGUUCUCUAGCAGGUCCCCUAACUAACAGGUUCUCUAGCAGGUCCCCUAACUAACAGGUUCUCUAGCGGGUCCCCUAACUAACAGGUUCUCUAACUAACGGGUCCCCUAACUAGCGGGUCCCCUAACUAAUGGGUCCUCUAACUAGCGGGUCCUCUAACUAAUGGGUCCCCUAACUAACGGGUCCUCUAACUAAUGGGUCCCCUAACUAAUGGGUCCUCUAACUAGCGGGUCCUCUAACUAACGGGUCAUCUAACUAAUGGGUCCCCUAACUAAUGGGUCCUCUAACUAAGCGGGUCCUCUAACUAAUGGGUCCUCUAACUAACGGGUCCUCUAACUAAUGGGUCCCCUAACUAAUGGGUCCUCUAACUAGCGGGUCCUCUAACUAAUGGGUCCUCUAACUAAUGGGUCCUCUAACUAAUGGGUCCUCUAACUAACGGGUCCUCUAACUAAUGGGUCCUCUAACUAAUGGGUCCUCUAACUAACGGGUCCUCUAACUAACGGGUCCCAGCUGUGGUGAAGGAAUGCAUGUUCUUGUGUAGGGCUGGCACAAUUACCGUACAACUGACGUCUACAUUGCUGGGUACACUUCCUGCUUUGCUCUUACAGAUAAACCCCAGUCCACUGAUCAUGCCUCUGUUCAGGUGACUGGGGACGCUCAUUCUGUGAGCGUGUUUGUUACCGUAGUA